ACCCUCUGUGCAGAUAUGGUAAGUAAGUAAGUAAGUAAAAUCUUUAUUAGUUCACUUUGCAUAAGAAUUACAAAAUACCCUUAGGGUGUAGAACUCGUCAAUUAUGUGUAGUAAAAAAUAGUAAAAAAGUUAAAUAUUUAAAUAUAAGAAGUAAUAUUAAAUAUAAAACAAGAUGCACACCAAUACUAACAUUGCUGAUAAGUAAACACGAACAAAAUAACACAAUUUAUGCACUGAUACAUACAUACAUAGUAUAAUGACAAUAAAUCAAUAUAUAUUAUCUUCAAAGAAUUCCUUUAAAGUAUAAUAUGCUUUGUCUAAAAGAAUUUUAUUUAAUUUUACCCUAAUAUCUUUGCACGAUAAAUUUCUUAUAUCUAGAGGUAAUUUAUUAUAAAUUUUUAGUAAUGAAUAUGGGACAUUCCUUUGAAUAUAACUAUAUUUUACUAUAUUUUCAGUCACUAAUGUAUUUUUGUUUCUGGUAUCAUAUAAAUGAGAUAAGUUAAAAUCUGCGAAUAAGUUUAUAUUUUGCUUAACAAAUAUAAUUACUUCAUAUAUGUAUAAGCUCACUAAGGUAAGUAUUCUUUUUUCAAUAAAAAUUUGUUUACAGCUAUCUGUCUGUUUCAUGUUUAGAAUAUUUCUAAUGCAUCUCUUUUGUAGUACAAAUAAAUCGAUAGCAUCACUAGAGUUUCCCCAGAAGACAAUUCCAUAUUUUAUUUGAGAUUGAACAUAUGCAUGGUAUGCUAUAAAUGCUGUAGGAAUAUUAAUAUUUUGAGCUAUUACUUUUAGAGCAUAACAGUAUUUAGCGAUCUUUUGACCAACAUGGUCUACAUGGGUUUUCCAGUUCAAACGUGAAUCAAUCUUUACCCCCAAAAAGGAGGUGCUAUUCAUAGAUGUUAUGAUGUCAUUGCCAGUAGUAUUCCUUAUUUUUAUUACCGAUUAUUAUAGAUGUAUCAUCAGCAUACAUAAUAGUUUUUACAUCAACUGUUGAGGGCAGGUCAUUUGUGUAUAAAAUAUACAACAAAGGACCCAAUAUCGACCCCUGAGGUACACCCCUUUCUAUUAAUACUACGUUUGAUUUUAUGAGAGCGCCAGUAUCGUCCGUUUCUACAACACACUGCUUCCUAUUCAGCAGGUGCCUCAAGUUCCAGUAACUGGCCCUCGUGAUCAGAUAAAGCUGUUGUAAUUACUUUACCUAUAUGAGCAUUAUCAAAG
This is a long non-coding RNA of Anoplophora glabripennis (Asian longhorned beetle), 1212 nucleotides long. RefSeq lists it as uncharacterized. The transcript is spliced from 3 exons. Lineage: Eukaryota; Metazoa; Arthropoda; Insecta; Coleoptera; Cerambycidae. The record is from RefSeq and is a predicted model, not a curated record.